RNA transcript from Bactrocera tryoni, 5627 nucleotides. It is a transcript of the gene named protein phosphatase 1 regulatory subunit 12A, with no coding region annotated. The record is from RefSeq and is a predicted model, not a curated record. Lineage: Eukaryota; Metazoa; Arthropoda; Insecta; Diptera; Tephritidae. The transcript is spliced from 20 exons.
GCAUUGAUGAUAAUCUUGAAAUGGUUGAAUUUCUAAUCGAACAUGGCGCUGAUAUAAACAGACAAGAUAAUGAAGGCUGGACGCCGCUGCAUGCCACCGCCUCAUGUGGCUUCGUGAGCAUAGCCCGCUAUUUGGUGGAGCAUGGCGCCGAUCCGGCCGCUGUAAAUAGCGACGGUGACUUGGCCGUGGACUUGGCUGUCGAUAUACAACAUUUGGCGAUGAUGGAUUUCAUGCAAAAGGUGAUGACUGAACACAAUAUCGACUGCGAGAAGGCGCGACAGGCGGAGGAGCAGCUAAUGCUGAGUGAUGCCAAGAAAUGGUUGCGCAGCGAUGCGUCCGAAGUGGAUCGGCCGCAUCCGAAAACAGGUGCCACAGCGCUGCACGUAGCCGCAGCAAAGGGCUAUACAAAGGUUAUAAGUUUACUACUCGCCGGUCGCGCUAAUGUUGAUAAACAGGACAAUGACGGCUGGACGCCGUUGCAUGCUGCAUCACAUUGGGGUCAAAAGGAGGCCGCCGAUAUGUUGGUCAAUGCCAUGGCCGAUAUGGAUAUACGCAAUUAUGCCGGUCAGACGUGCAUCGAUGUGGCCGAUCGUAAAAUGGCGAAAUUCUUGGAGGAAUUGCGUAGCACCAGCAACAAACGUGUCAAACGUCGUCCUUCUAGUCAAAUCAGAAUCUCAGAUAAAAUUGAAAAUCACAUUGAAAAUACGCCAACGAAAAUCAUACGAGUGGAAGUGAAAUCGGAUCAGUCAAAGGAUCAAGCGAAUGCUUCCAUAACCGAAAAUGAACUGCCAAUGAUUGAUAGUAGUGAUCAGCUGGAGCCUCAUAAUCUGGCGCGUAUAGCAGAGUAUGAUGAAACUGACUCUGAACUCACCGACUCAACAGAGAGCUCACACUCGACCAGCCUAUCUGAACCUGAAGAUGAGAAAUCAAAACAAUCGCAUGAAACUGUCAAACCAUCCGCCGUUGCUACAACAGACAACCAAACGGUUGAGGAUGAAGCGCCAUGGCGACGCAACAGCUUGGCAAGAGCGCGCACACAAAAUGAAAGUCCAACGAAAAUUCUUCCUGAAAAAGAUGUUAGUAAAACUAACAACACCACAGAGACAUCAGAUGUUAUUUUAAGACGCACUCAGAGCUUCGAGCAUGAUGAGAAAUUCUAUCAAAAAUAUCAUGAGCUGCGCGCACGCAUAAAAGCCAAUUCAUGCCCCAUAUUGCCGGCCAAGCAACAACAACUCAAUAAUAGUAACAACAGUAGUAACAGUAAUAGCCAAAAUAACAAUAGCAACAGUAGCAAUAGCAAUAACAACAUCAACAAUAAUAGCAAUAACAGUAACAAUAUUAAUAACAGUAAAAGUAACAUCAACACCAACAUUAUCAAUAAUCCCACAAGCGCAUUAGGCAACGUUUACACGCCCAUUCCAAAUUAUUCGGUACAAAGAUCGGCAUCACUCAAAGAUCAUAGAAAUUACAGAACCAUUUCGACGAACACGUCGUCCACAUCGAUAACGGCGGCGUACACAACAAGCACACCAACAACAGCUGAUUCGACUACGUCAAUAACGACAACCGGCAGCACCACCACCACACCGUCGACAACUACAACUACAACACCGAUACGCAGAUCCUUUGUGCCACCCGUGCGUGACGAGGAGAGCGAAACCCAGCGCAAGGCACACGCCAAACGCGUGCGUGAGACGCGUCGCUCCACACAAGGUGUCACGUUGGACGAAAUCAAGAGCGCCGAAGAGUUGGUCAAGAAGAAAAACUCAAAUAUGAACAACAACAAUAACAGCAGCAGCAAUGAAACGCAAGUAGCCACAGCAAUAGCAGGAACAAUACCAACAACAUCCGAACAACAAGAAGUUGAAGCUAUUGAGCCGCCACACACGGAACCGUCAGUAGCUGCCACACAAACGCUGCCAACCACAGAAACGCCGCUCGCGUCGCAGAGCCAAAUCGCGGAUGGCGAUGAAACAACGAUCACAGAGCAACAAGCCAGUCGUGCAGAUUGCACGCCAGCAGAGGAGAGUGAUAGGGAGGAGGAGGAAGAGAAAGAGUGUGAUCAGCAGGAUGAUGAAGCUGCUGUGGACAAUGAUGGCGAGGAUGUUUCCGCCUCUUUCACAAUUGUGGCGCCAACUCGAAAGAAUUCUAGUACGAAGGCAACAAUGCUAGAUGAUACCACAACGGAUGAUGCCACAACCACCGAUGACAACGAUGAAGAGGUGAGUGCCACAUACACGUUGACACCGCGUCAUUCGUUUGUCGGCAGCGCUGCACCCACCGAAACUGUGGAAACGACGAUAGUGGUCACGCCACCGGAAAUCAUAAUCAAUGAAAGCGAUUUAGAUAGCGAAACGGUACGAAAAAAAGCCGAGACAUAUGAAAUGGAGGAUGAAAAUGUGCCUGAGAGUGCGAACCAGCUUGAGAUUGAUGUCGACGUUGAGAAUGAGAAUGCGGAUGAGUCAAGCGAGUCUGAACAGCAGAACGAGAACGAAGAGGCGACAGAAAUAGCAAAUUUAAUCAAGGUCGAAGAUGUGCAGGCCGUGCUAGAGGCGGACGAUGAAGAAGAAUUGCUAGAAGAGAAGGCGGUGGACGCCGAAGAGGAGGUGGAAUCAGAUGAUAGUGAAAUUGUUGAAAUUAACGAGUUUGAAAAUGAAAAGACUGAAAGCUCUGCCACCAAAGAGUUGGCUACUAAUGAAAUAAGCGCUCCUAAAUCACACAUAUCCACGGGCAACAGCUCAGUCGAGUUACCGUCAGUUACACAAACUGAACGUGCACGCCAUAACACAUUAAUUCCAUUGCCGCUGGUUGGCGUGGCGUCAACUAGUGUGGCGCAUGCCACAGAUGCUACACCGGCCACGCCCACCAGCACGAGCGCGAAUACGCCCACACUCGAAAGUCCUGUGCGCUUGCGCGACAAGCGUAUACCUUACGACCCGGACAGCAACAAUGCCUUAACGUUAGCCGAACGCCUACGUUACGAAGCGAGCAAAUACAGCGCUGUCGGCGAUAGUGACGAAUCGUCGUCAUCGUCGACGGUCGUUAGUAAAACACGUUCACUACCACCAGCGUCGCUGGCAAGUGAUGCCGAUGCCAUCAAUGAGCUAUCAACAAAUUACGGUAAAAUUUCACUCAGCAGUCGUCGCAGCUUGGACUCAUCCUCACUGUCAUUGCACGGCAACAACGAGAGCCAAGCGGCUCAGGCGUCAUCUAAUGACACCCAAACCUUACAAAGUGCUAUCAGUAGUAUUAGUAGUUGUAGUAGCGGUAGCGGUACAGCGUUUGUGGCAACUACAACAACAGCGACGGCGCCGAGCAGCAGCAACAGUAGCAAUAAUAGUACAAUGGCUGAGCGACGUCCUUCUUGGCGUUUGAAAUUCGAUGCUGGCUGUAAGUUCAAAUUGGAAGAUGCAUCGAGUGGGAAUACAUUUCCGCCAAAUAACAGCACAAUUAUACCGAGCGCGCCAGCUGUUAUUGCCGCUGCCAAUUUAUCGUCAACCAUAUCACAACGGCGCAUCAACAGUAAUUCAUUGAACUCGUCGAAUCAGUCGUUGAACUCAAUUGGACGACCUGUGUCCGCACCAGUCAAUGCCACCACAUCCACCACAUUACUCAGCAAUGAUACUCACAGCGAGGGUGUUAGCAUUUUCGGCCGACGACUCACCGGUGGCAGCACCAAUAGCACUUAUAGCAGCAGCGCCACAACCCCAGCAGCUACCACGACAACGUCUACUGCAUCCACAACAACAGCUAACGUCACAGCCGCCACGGCUAAUUCGGCGUCUAAAACUAACGACGAUAAAGAUAAUGACAAAGAAAAUGAUAACCGCAAUUUGGCAGCUCAAUCGGCUAUACAACGAAGAAGGAAACCAAAACGAAGAUCCACCGGCGUUGUGCAUAUCGAUAUGGAUGAGCUCGAUCCAGAGCGGCAAGAUUCAGCAAACGAUGCGGAAGAGAAAGAUAAGGAGAAAGAGAGUGGCGGUGAGCGCGGCGCAUCGCGUUCACGUUUGAGCAGCACCACUAAUGCCAACACCAACGCAAACUCCACGACAGACGAGAAUAAAGCACGUGAUAGGUCAGAGAAUGGCGAAGCCAUCGACUACAAGGCUCUAUGGGAGGCUGUAAAAUUGGAGAAUGACAAGCUCAAGCAGCAGCUUAAGAAGAAAGAUGAUGAAAUCGUACAAAGUAGAGCAACACUCGAAAGAUUUACAAACGCAACAACUAAAAACUCACUCUCAGAGCUUGAAAAACGCGAAAGGAGAGCAAUGGAACGCAAACUUUCCGAAAUGGAAGAAGAGUUAAAGCUAUUGCAGAAGCUAAAGACUGAGAAUGAGCGUUUGCGUGCGGAGAAUCGCGCUCUCACGCGUGUCGUAUCCAAGUUGACCACCUCAGCUCAAAGUCAACUAGCUAAAAAAUCAAAAUAAAUUUAAUAAAUUCCUGAAAAAAAUUAUAAAAAAUUAAUUAAUUGUGAAUUAUAUACGCUAUAGACUAAGGAAAUGAGUAGUUGAAAAUUUGUUCACGAAUUGCGAAAUAUGUCUAAAGAUAAGUGUUCAUUAAAGAAAAGAGAAAGAAGCGAAUGUGCUACAGUAUUUAAGCUCGCAUUAGACUGGAGUAUUUGCACUGACACAAUGCGAUCACAGCUGAUGGAAAUUAUCUGCAUUACCGUUAUAAUCAAAAGUAACUAAAUAGAAAAUAACAAACCGCAUAGUAAGCUGUAAACAGUUUGAAAAUAAAGGCUCGCAUAGUACCCAAAAUUUUGGUUGUCGUGUAAAAGUAAAGGACAGAACAAUUGCCGAUCGAAAAUUGAGAAAUCUCACUACGAAAUUGGUUUGAAACUUGGUUGGUUUGGAAUUUGCAGCAAUACAUCACUGAAUUAUUGAGCGAAUUCAGUAAUGAUUAUUGUACGCCUGGAGCACAAACGGAGUAAGCUAAGUGAGAGAGAGAGUAACACUUACUAUCAUCUAGUAAAGCAGUGAAUUAGCGUUCGAAAAGAGUUAAGCGGCAGUUUGUCACGUGCCAAGCUACAGUAUCGCCGCACUUUGCAGUUUUCAUUGCUCAACAAUUGCUCGUAUACUCAUAGUUAUACUACAUACAUACAUACAAUAUUUAAAAGAUUAUAGUAAUUUAAUAUCAUAACCGCACAAUAAUCGAAUAAAACUAGUUGAAAUGAUUAUAAAGUGUAUUUAAUUAAGUGGAAGGUUAUUUAAAAACAAAAUCGCUCAGCGCAUAGCAUUUGAAGUAACGUUGAAUUCUUUAGCAUGUAAAAAAAUACUGGAAAAUUAAUCGAAAUUCAUCUCGAAGGCAAAAAAAAAAAAAUAAAGCUUCGUCUCCAACAGACAACGCGUAGCACUUUUCAGCUUUGGUUUCAUACAAAAUUAUUUUCAUCUUUAAACAACAACAGUCUCGACGUUGACUAAAUUCGAGGGUUUCCACUUACUUCAAAAUACUUAAUUAAAAUUUAUCUCAAAGGAAGAAAAUCUUUAAACAACAACAGUCGCGACGUCGACUAAAUUCGAAAGUUUUGACUUGUGGUUCCACCUACUUCGCAUUUACGCCGCAAUUGGAAGUUUACAAAACGGAGAAUCAACGCCUUAAAGAGGAAAACGGAGCGCUAAUUAGAGUAAUUA